Molecule: ribosomal RNA, 482 nt
Filed under: uncultured bacterium
Lineage: Bacteria
Description: SSU rRNA
Rfam family: Bacterial small subunit ribosomal RNA
Source: RNAcentral
AGGACGAACGCUGGCGGCGUGCUUAACACAUGCAAGUCGAACGAGGUCCAACCGGUGGCAACACUGGUGAAGACCGAGUGGCGAACGGGUGAGUAACACGUGAGCAACCUGCCCCGAAGACUGGGAUACCACCGGGAAACCGGUGCUAAUACCGGAUAUCCCUACCGGGCCGCAUGACCUGGUAAGGAAAUGGAUUCCGCUUCGGGAGGGGCUCGCGUCCUAUCAGCUUGUAGGUGGGGUAAUGGCCUACCUAGGCUCCGACGGGUAGCUGGUCUGAGAGGACGAUCAGCCACACUGGGACUGAGACACGGCCCAGACUCCUACGGGAGGCAGCAGUGGGGAAUCUUGCGCAAUGGGCGAAAGCCUGACGCAGCAACGCCGCGUGAGGGACGAAGGCCUUCUGGGUUGUAAACCUCUUUCAGCAGGGACGAUGAUGACGGUACCUGCAGAAGAACGCCCGGCAACUACGUGCCAGCAGCCGC